This 75-nucleotide transfer RNA is filed under the name Podoviridae sp. ctlpi2. Its description in RNAcentral is "tRNA-Met". It matches the Rfam family "tRNA". Rfam says of the family: Transfer RNA (tRNA) molecules are approximately 80 nucleotides in length. Their secondary structure includes four short double-helical elements and three loops (D, anti-codon, and T loops). Further hydrogen bonds mediate the characteristic L-shaped molecular structure. tRNAs have two regions of fundamental functional importance: the anti-codon, which is responsible for specific mRNA codon recognition, and the 3' end, to which the tRNAs corresponding amino acid is attached (by aminoacyl-tRNA synthetases). tRNAs cope with the degeneracy of the genetic code in two manners: having more than one tRNA (with a specific anti-codon) for a particular amino acid; and 'wobble' base-pairing, i.e. permitting non-standard base-pairing at the 3rd anti-codon position. The record is from RNAcentral. Lineage: Duplodnaviria; Heunggongvirae; Uroviricota; Caudoviricetes.
AGCGGUGUGGGGAAGUAGCAUCCCGCGUGGUUCAUACCCACGAGAGCGCUGGUGCAAGUCCAGCCGCCGCUUCCA